RNAcentral lists this transfer RNA (72 nucleotides) under Phytophthora infestans (potato late blight agent). It matches the Rfam family "tRNA". From Rfam's summary of the family: Transfer RNA (tRNA) molecules are approximately 80 nucleotides in length. Their secondary structure includes four short double-helical elements and three loops (D, anti-codon, and T loops). The record is from Rfam by way of RNAcentral. Lineage: Eukaryota; Oomycota; Peronosporomycetes; Peronosporales; Peronosporaceae. RNAcentral also lists the same sequence under 1 other name.
CCGCUUUUAGCUCAGUGGUCGAGUGUUGGCUUUGGAAGCCACAGGUCGGUGGUUCGAACCCACCAGGGCACA